RNAcentral lists this ribosomal RNA (429 nucleotides) under Gemmatimonadota bacterium. RNAcentral's name for it is "Gemmatimonadetes bacterium partial 16S ribosomal RNA". It matches the Rfam family "Bacterial small subunit ribosomal RNA", at positions 355 to 776 of the family's 1533-position model. Lineage: Bacteria; Pseudomonadati; Gemmatimonadota. The record is from RNAcentral.
UAGGGAAUCUUCGGCAAUGGACGAAAGUCUGACCGAGCAACGCCGCGUGAGUGAAGAAGGUUUUCGGAUCGUAAAACUCUGUUGUUAGAGAAGAACAAGGACGUUAGUAACUGAACGUCCCCUGACGGUAUCUAACCAGAAAGCCACGGCUAACUACGUGCCAGCAGCCGCGGUAAUACGUAGGUGGCAAGCGUUGUCCGGGUUUAUUGGGCGUAAAGCGAGCGCAGGCGGUUUCUUAAGUCUGAUGUGAAAGCCCCCGGCUCAACCGGGGAGGGUCAUUGGAAACUGGGAGACUUGAGUGCAGAAGAGGAGAGUGGAAUUCCAUGUGCAGCGGUGAAAUGCGUAGAUAUAUGGAGGAACACCAGUGGCGAAGGCGGCUCUCUGGUCUGUAACUGACGCUGAGGCUCGAAAGCGUGGGGAGCAAACAGG